This 29-nucleotide non-coding RNA is filed under the name Rattus norvegicus (Norway rat). The record is from RNAcentral. Lineage: Eukaryota; Metazoa; Chordata; Mammalia; Rodentia; Muridae.
UCACUGUGAUAAGUGAAUGAGUUGAUUUC